RNAcentral lists this ribosomal RNA (520 nucleotides) under uncultured Glomus. Its description in RNAcentral is "SSU rRNA". It matches the Rfam family "Eukaryotic small subunit ribosomal RNA", at positions 569 to 1091 of the family's 1831-position model. The record is from RNAcentral. Lineage: Eukaryota; Fungi; Glomeromycota; Glomeromycetes; Glomerales; Glomeraceae.
AGCAGCCGCGGUAAUUCCAGCCCCAAUAGCGUAUAUUAAAGUUGUUGCAGUUAAAAAGCUCGUAGUUGAAUUUCGGGAUCAAGGAAUCGGUCAUGCCUUGGUAUGUACUGGUUUUAUUGGUUCCCACCUUCUAAAGAACCAUAAUGUCAUUCAUUUGAUGUUAUGGGGAAUUAGGACUGUUACCUUGAAAAAAUUAGAGUGUUUAAAGCAGGCUUACGCUUGAAUACAUUAGCAUGGAAUAAUGAAAUAGGACAUCAGAUUCUAUUUUGUUGGUUUCUAGGAUCGAUGUAAUGAUUAAUAGGGAUAGUUGGGGGCAUUAGUAUUCAAUUGUCAGAGGUGAAAUUCUUGGAUUUAUUGAAGACUAACUACUGCGAAAGCAUUUGUCAAGGAUGUUUUCAUUAAUCAAGAACGAAAGUUAGGGGAUCGAAGACGAUCAGAUACCGUCGUAGUCUUAACCAUAAACUAUGCCGACUAGGGAUCGGAUGAUGUUAAUUUUUAAUGUACUCAUUCGGCGCCUUAA